This 63-nucleotide transfer RNA is filed under the name Perumytilus purpuratus. Its description in RNAcentral is "tRNA-Met". Lineage: Eukaryota; Metazoa; Mollusca; Bivalvia; Mytilida; Mytilidae. The record is from RNAcentral.
UUAGGCGAAGCGCAUCGGUCGUGUAAAAAUUAUAGUUUUAUGGUUGAAUUUAUUACGCUUAAU